This 497-nucleotide ribosomal RNA is filed under the name uncultured bacterium. RNAcentral's name for it is "partial 16S ribosomal RNA". It matches the Rfam family "Bacterial small subunit ribosomal RNA", at positions 28 to 507 of the family's 1533-position model. The record is from RNAcentral.
GAUGAACGCUGGCGGCGUGCCUAAUACAUGCAAGUCGAGCGAACGGACGAGAAGCUUGCUUCUCUGAUGUUAGCGGCGGACGGGUGAGUAACACGUGGAUAACCUACCUAUAAGACUGGGAUAACUUCGGGAAACCGGAGCUAAUACCGGAUAAUAUUUUGAACCGCAUGGUUCAAAAGUGAAAGACGGUCUUGCUGUCACUUAUAGAUGGAUCCGCGCUGCAUUAGCUAGUUGGUAAGGUAACGGCUUACCAAGGCAACGAUGCAUAGCCGACCUGAGAGGGGGAUCGGCCACACUGGAACUGAGACACGGUCCAGACUCCUACGGGAGGCAGCAGUAGGGAAUCUUCCGAAAUGGGCGAAAGCCUGACGGAGCAACGCCGCGUGAGUGAUGAAGGUCUUCGGAUCGUAAAACUCUGUUAUUAGGGAAGAACAUAUGUGUAAGUAACUGUGCACAUCUUGACGGUACCUAAUCAGAAAGCCACGGCUAACUACGUG